This is a non-coding RNA of Phalacrocorax carbo (great cormorant), 3707 nucleotides long. Lineage: Eukaryota; Metazoa; Chordata; Aves; Suliformes; Phalacrocoracidae. The record is from RefSeq and is a predicted model, not a curated record.
CAUUUCGAUUUGUUGCUGAUUCUCUGUGAAGAUACUGUUUCCAUCAGCAUGUCUUAAUAUACUAAACUUGUCCCCUAAGCCCAUCCUCUGAAGCUUGGUGCUAUGAUUCGCUGUUACAGCUUUACGGUUUGGAAGAGCUGGGUUCGUACACACUUCGCACGGAGCAUAACCCCCGUCGGCAGCCAGCGGCGCCGUCUGCAAGACCAGAAUUGCUCCGAGGGCUGCGACGGGAGCCCCGAGCAUCCGUGGUCCAGCAGGCGCCGCAGGCGGCUCUGCGAGCGGAUGCAAAGGGCUCGUGUGGGAACGUAUCUCUCUCAAACACAUCUCGAGUGAUGCUCUUGAAACAGAACAGAGCUGCUGUGGGGAAAGGUAACAUAACAAGCCACGCGAGAGAGGAUAUCCUGCCCCGCGAUUAAAGGAGCACGUCAUCCCUCCUCAUCCAGAUUGAUAAACUGCAGGAUUUACCUUAGAUACAACAACGGUGCCCACGAGCUCCUAUUUCCAUCUUGGCUGGACUAAAGGUACGUGACCGCUCCUAACGGCGCAGACUCCUCAGCUGUCGCUCGGCUCCUUCACGUCCCGCUGUAUAAUGAGGCUCUGCACUUGAAGAUCACCGAAAAACUUCAGCUGCGUUGGACUGCAGCUCUUCGAUUCCAUAUUUUAAUUUAAUGUUGGAAAUGUGCUGGUCAGAAUGGUCUCAAGCUGCUUGUACGUGUUCAGAAAGCAACUAAGUAAACUUAAAAAGGGGCUCAAUGACUAAGAGAAAUGACUAAGAAAAUCAGACGAAGGCAGGAGAACCCCCCUAAAUAACUGCACAGGUAAAACGCAGUGUAAAUAAGUAUCUCCUGCAUCGCUGGCUUUUCUUUAUGAUGUCUCAUGAAGGAAGCUUAUGACAAAUUCAUCCCUGUCUUGCCACUCAAUUCUGGCUGCAAUUCAAUUCAAGGCGCUGGCUGAGAUCUGUGAGGACAGCCGGGUGAAGCGUUGUCAUCCUGAAGCCUUUCGUGAGUUCAGUCUGAAUUAACUCAAUAGCUUUGGUUGGAAAAAAUGAUGGUGCCUCUCUGCUGUGGUGAUAAAGGAACUCACCAAGGAUAUGUCAGAUGCAAUUUGAUUUUCUCCUCAGCCCAAGGGGACUUGAACUCACUUAUUUUACCUUUUGCUGGAGUACCCUAACUCUCACGAUACGGAGCCUCACCUCGUUGUGCCGUGCUACUUUGCAUAAAUAAUUCAACUUUUUGUCACAACCCCAGAACUCAGUGCUCUAAUUACCAGCCCAGAAAGACAUUCUUGCUAUUUCUCUGGGUCAUUUUGCUCAACACAGAACGAUUCAGUUCCAGUUCAGCCGCUUCAGCUGGGUGAGGAAAACACGACUUCCCCCCGCCCCCCCCCAACACUUCUGUUCAUUUCCAGUUUGGCUGCUGAACCGACACCCGAGGUUUCAGCGCACCCCUACGUCUGGGCACCUCCGUGUUUCAGAAGUUCUGAGUGCUGGGUGGGGAAGGGCAGCCCGGUGAGGCAGCACUGCGCGUCUUGGGGGCACCUAACCUAGAGCCUUAACUAAACCCGUGGGAUGCUCGCCUUCUCUAGGGCUGGCCCCAGGUCCGCUGCCCGCGGUGCAGCAGCCUAAAAUCAGGGGCUGAAGGGAUCUUUACGCCUUCAGUGGGUUGUUUGGGCCCGGCAGAAGCUUAGUCCAGAGCAGGGUUGGGCCUAAGAGCUUCAUGACCUAUGUAACAAAAGCAGCGCUGGUUGAUUUGAAGUGCACGAAAAGCACUUUGUACCCGAGGGCGAGAUGUGUGGGUGCCGGGGGCUGGGGCGGUGCCGAGGGAGGUUGGGUGCCCGGUGCCUGCUGGGGAUCGGGCGUUUCCCCUGCCCAGUUCUUCUGAGAACCCCACUUUGCAGUAACCGAGACCUGAAACCUUGGCUAUCUGAUGGGAAGCCCUUUAUUUGCAUACUACUGUUGCAGAAAUGUAGAUAAUUUUAAUUUAGAUCUUUACAUAAUUUUAUUUUUAAAAGCAGUAUCAACAAAUUAAUGAGAAUGCAUAAAUAAAUAUCUGCUACAGAAUAGCUGUUCAGAUCUACCCCAUCUGUUACCACAUUUUAUUAUUUUAUUUUAUUUUAUUUUAUUUUAUUUUAUUUUAUUUUAUUUUAUUUUAUUUUAUUUUAUUUUAUUUUAUUUUAUUUUAUUUUAUUUUUAAACAUUUUUAAUAUUUUUAUUUAUUUCAGUAUUUACUUUUUAUACUAGUGUAUUUUUAUCAAAAGAGGAAAGUAGGCCACUGGAUUAUUUUAUGAAUGGAUAAUCCUUUCUAAGAAUAUUCUUAUACCUGGUAUAGUUUUCUACUUCCAGUAACAUAGUAAAGCUUCAACUAAAGACAUAUGCAAUGAUGGAAAUUGUUAAUCUAAUUAUCGUUUUCUUUAACAUUUAUCCUACAAUAAGAUUUGUGGAGCUGGAUCCUCAGCCUGUCAUUGACCUGAGUGCAUAAUAAGCUCUCGGAUGCUUCUUUGGGCCAAGAAGUUAAUAACAAGCUGCAGGGCCACCCGUGGUGAGAUGCUGGUCUCCAACGGCCUGGAUUUUUGGUGGACAGGCCGCGCCGCGGGAUUCUGUCUCGCCAAAGCGCCUUGAGCCAGAGACCACAAAACGCAGGGGUCCACGAUUAGGCUGGCAAACCAAAAUGCCUGUUUGCCCUUGAGUGCUCAUCAUGUUACGGAUAUCGCGGCAACACAAGGGAGAAAUCCUGCACUGGCUACGUCUUAACGAAGAAAGUCAAGGGCAGCGGUGACCUCGGCGGCGAGAACGUCUGCAGCCCUCUCUGCUUUCCCUGGGAUUCGAAGCGCUUCCAUUCCCUGCCCUGUGCAACGAGGCUCGUGGUUUGUAAAUCAGAGGCAAACGAGCCUUUUAAAUGAUUCUGACACAUCUAACUUUUCUGAACUUUAAGAUAUGCCACAAAAAAGGAAGACUUUUUUGUUCAUAUUUUUAUUCCUCCCCCAAACAUCCACUGUAUCGUAACUCCUCCCGCCCCACUACCGGCAAGUGACCGUGGAGAUCCUGCGGCGGAGUUACAAACCGUUCGUUGCGCUACCCCCACAAAAUCGCACGGCUUGAAAAAAAUGCAGAAGCUUAAAAUUGCCUGCCAUAAUUAAAAUAUUGAGUUGUUCACUUAGGGAAGGAAGCAGCCACCCUAACAGCGCGGUAAGGGGGUGAGUUGGGACCAACAGAGCGUGCAGACUCUCGGCACAAGCGGCUAGCUAGUCCAAGGGAAGGUUAGUUCACUGAGUUAGAGCUUGACCUGAUUUACACUGAUUUGAGGUAUUUCAGAAUAAGUACGACGCCGUAUGUAAAACGAGGGAAACGCGCCACGUUAUGCUGGAACGCUGCCGGUUUUAAACAGCCGUAGAAAUGUGCUCAGAACACGUAUAAACGCUAGGAAUGCCCAAAACCUUUGAGAAGUGUGCAGGGCUACGGUCUUACUUUGAAAUUUAAGGCAGGAACUCGUACGGGAUCGUGCCAGAAAAACAACUAGUGUUUCCUCUAAUACAAAUACUAUAAGUGAAUCAAAAUUUGCUUAAAAUCUUAGCAUACCAUUCGUGCUACUCAAUUUCUUCUCCUGCUUCUGCAUCACUGUGAGAGCACCAGAAACCUACAAACGCAACGCGGUACCUUUCUCCAAAAUAAAUGAUCAGGGCUUGAGUGUUUGCACCAAAAAAAACAAAAA